AGGGGUGUAGCUCAAUUGGUAGAGUAGUGGACUCCAAAUCCAUUGGUUGCGUGUUCAAGUCGCGUCACCCCUGCCA
RNAcentral lists this transfer RNA (76 nucleotides) under Desulfitibacter sp. BRH_c19. RNAcentral's name for it is "tRNA-Trp". It matches the Rfam family "tRNA". From Rfam's summary of the family: Transfer RNA (tRNA) molecules are approximately 80 nucleotides in length. Their secondary structure includes four short double-helical elements and three loops (D, anti-codon, and T loops). Further hydrogen bonds mediate the characteristic L-shaped molecular structure. tRNAs have two regions of fundamental functional importance: the anti-codon, which is responsible for specific mRNA codon recognition, and the 3' end, to which the tRNAs corresponding amino acid is attached (by aminoacyl-tRNA synthetases). tRNAs cope with the degeneracy of the genetic code in two manners: having more than one tRNA (with a specific anti-codon) for a particular amino acid; and 'wobble' base-pairing, i.e. permitting non-standard base-pairing at the 3rd anti-codon position. Lineage: Bacteria; Bacillati; Bacillota; Clostridia; Neomoorellales; Desulfitibacteraceae. The record is from RNAcentral.